RNAcentral lists this ribosomal RNA (115 nucleotides) under Acanthosepion pharaonis. The record is from RNAcentral. Lineage: Eukaryota; Metazoa; Mollusca; Cephalopoda; Sepiida; Sepiidae.
UUACGACCAUAUCCAUUUGAAAUGCCGAUUCUCGUAGGAUCACCGAAGUUAAGCAAACGUCUAGCCUGGUCAGUAACUAGAUGGGUGACCGUUUGAGAAUACCAGGUGCUGUAAG